This is an RNA transcript of Rhea pennata, 4791 nucleotides long. It is a transcript of the gene named aminopeptidase O (putative), with no coding region annotated. NCBI's taxonomy places the organism in Eukaryota, Metazoa, Chordata, Aves, Rheiformes, Rheidae. The record is from RefSeq and is a predicted model, not a curated record. The transcript has 18 exons.
CGCGGCGGGUGGGAGCCGGAAGGGGCUCGGCGUGAGAGUGGCAGAAUGAGAGAGGAACUCCAAUUCAUUUCAAUAAUGUAUUAGCCAAAAAUUAUUUUUGGCACUGUGGGCUGAAUAUCCUUUUUCUUUCUGGAAACACUUUAUGUAAUAAAGGACUAAAGAAUUGUAAAACUGUUGCCUAGCAAACUGGAUCAUGGAGAAGCAGCUGGACCCCAUAAAGGAUGACUUGCCCUUAAUGGCCAACACUAGCCACAUGCUUGUAAAACAUUAUACAUUGGACUUGGAUGUGGAUUUUAAAAGUCAAAUUAUUGAAGGCAUCAUAGUUUUCUUCUUUGAGACUGGGAGCCAAUACAGGAAAACCAGCAGCACCAAUGAAGAAGGCUGUCAGUCACAGUUUGAUGAAACCUGCAAAAUUAGGGCAUCUGAACCCUGCCAGGUUCCUGUGACAAGUGUAAGUGCCUGCUCAUCUAAAACAGAAUAUAAUGAUUUUCCUGUCUGUGAUAAAGGUGGAAAAGAUACUUCUGAUAAAAAUGGUAACCAUAGCAACGAGGAACAGGCUUCUGGGAUUUCUAGUUCAAAGAACUGCUGUGACAUAGAGAAUCAUGGGAGCAUGGAUUUUUUGCUAGUGUUGGACUGCUGUGAUUUAUCCGUGCUAAAGACUGAGGAGGUUGAUGUUGCUGCUGUGGCAGGCAUUGAAAAAUUUACAAAGUCUGCCAACCCAACUGAUGCUUCUAAGGAUAUGGGAAAUCUCAGGAAUCAGAUUGUACAUGAACUUGUGACUUUACCUGCGGAUCGCUGGAAGGAACAGCUAUACUAUUACACUCGUUGCAGCCAGGCACCUGGCUGUGGAGAGCUUCUGUUUACAACUGGCAGUUGGAGCUUGGAGAUAAGGAAAUCGGGGGUUCGCACUCCAAGAGACUUUCCUCAUGCGAUAAGAAUAUGGUACAAAACCAAACCAGAGGGAAGAUCUAUUGCAUGGACUACAGACCAGAGUGGCAGACCAUGUGUGUAUACAAUGGGAUCACCAAUAAACAACAGAGCCCUUUUCCCAUGCCAAGAGCCACCUGUUGCCUUGUCAACAUGGCAAGCUACAGUCCGAACAGCUGCACACUUUGUUGUAUUGAUGAGUGGUGAAAACUCAGCCGAACCUGUCCAGCUUCAAGAAGGUGUCUUGAGCUGGUACUAUUACGUGACUAUGCCAAUGCCAGCAUCCACCUUCACUAUUGCCAUUGGGUGCUGGCAGGAAGUUAAACAGCAGCCCUUCACAGCUGAUGUUCAGACAAGCAGUGACUUUUCCUUGCCAUUUUCCCAAGCUGAUCUCAGAUGGCAUGAAGAAUGCUGUGGUCAUGUGGAGUAUCCCUGCCGUUUCCAAAAUCCUGCUGCCAGGUUGCAGGCAGUCAUUCCUUACAGAGUCUUUGCACCCUGCUGCCUUAUGGAAAGCUGCAAAGAACUUGUACUCCAGCUAAUUCCCCAGUGCCUCUCCGCUGCUUACACCACACUGGGUACCCAUCCUUUCUCCAGGCUUGAUGUUUUGAUAGUGCCUUCCAACUUUUCCAGUCUGGGAAUGGCUAGCCCCCAUGUCAUCUUCCUGUCUCAGAGUGUAUUACCUGGAGGGCGACAUCUCUGUGGAGCACGUCUAUGUCACGAAAUUGCUCAUGCUUGGUUUGGACUGGCCAUUGGUGCUCGAGACUGGACUGAAGAGUGGAUAAGUGAAGGGUUUGCCACGUAUUUAGAAGAUAUAUUUUGGGCUAAGGCUCAACAGCUGUCACGUGAUGAAGUAAAAGGGCAGCAGGAAUUGAAAGCUUUACUUCGCUGGCGACGACUCAGAGAUGAAGUGCAGAACUCUGAAGAAGAGCUACAAGUUUUACGGCCCAACAAAGAGAACACAGGAGAAGUGAGCGACUCUGGAGCAUCUGUUGUCAAACAUGGUCUUAAAGCAGAAAAAAUCUUCAUGCAGGUUCACUAUUUAAAGGGUUACUUCCUUUUGCGGUCUCUGGCAAGGACAAUAGGAGAGGCUUCAUACCUUGCAUCAUUAAGAAAAUUUGUCCAUAAGUUCCAUGGGCAGCUUGUCCUUUCUCAGGAUUUUCUUUACAUGCUCUUGGAAGACAUCCCUGAACAAAAAGAGUCUGGCUUAACUAUUGAAAGUAUCUUCCAGAACUGGCUUGACACUUCCGGAAUACCAAAGCCUUUGCUGGAGGAGGGUGAGACUUGGAAGGAGUGUCAGCUCGUCCAGCAAGUGAGCGGCGAGGUGGCAAAAUGGAUUCAGACAAACCAGAGGAUCAGAAAAAGCGGCAAAAGGAAAAGAAAGCAAGGUGAAGUCAUUUUCCAGAAGCUUCUUCCAGACCAGCUGGUCUUACUUCUGGAGUCUCUCUUGGAAGAGAAGACGUUAUGUCCUAGAACAUUGCAAUGCUUAGAGAAAACAUACGAGCUUCAUGAACAGGAUGCAGAGGUUCGACAUCGGUGGUGUGAACUUGUUGUUAAACACAAAUACAUACCUGGAUAUGGAGAUGUUGAGAAAUUUCUCAGAGAAGAUCAGGCAAUGGGUGUGUACCUCUAUGGUGAGCUAAUGGUGAAUGAAGAUGCAAAGCAACAAGAACUUGCCUACAAAUGUUUUGCUGCAGCACGAGAACAUAUGGAUGUGUCCUCAGCCAAAGUGGUGGCAGAGAUGUUAUUCUGAAGAGCCAGACAGAUGGUUAAAGGAAGAUGGCCAAUGCAAGCAGGGGAAACUCCUUUCUGGCAUUCAGUAGUGAACAGACCACCUAACAGCAAAUUCCCAGAAUAACCUACUCCCUGCUCAGGCAGCAACUGAAAUGGCUACCAUGAACAUACCCUUUAAAAGUCCGAACAAACAUUUAAAGGAAAACAUCAAUCACGAAUAUGAAGAACUUGCCAGACAGUGGGCUAAGAUCCUGGUUGACAAAAGAACCUCAGAAGCAAAACGUGUUGGGUGGAAAGCUCACAAAAUUCAAAAGGAUCUGGCUUAAAAGAGUCUUAGACUGGAAAGAAGCAUCAUCAGCAAAGCAGCCAAAGACACUGUAUUCUUGUUUAAAACAACUCCCUGAAGUAAAAAUACAGACUUUGAAAAGCUCUCUUUCAGUAUAAUACCUGGGAUCAGGGUUUAUAAACUUGGAGAUUGGAGGGAAGGGGAAAGCUACUUGAAGCACUGAUUUCAGGGCUCGCUGGCUGAUUCUGCACAAAAGCACUGCCCUGAAGGCUCCAAAGACCCCUUUCAGAAAGCGGGGAUUAUAGAAGAGAAGAAGCACAUUAGAUGGAUGAUGCAGAGCCAGCCUAUUAAAAAAAAAAAAAAAAAAAAAAAAUCUUCCAUUACUGAGCUCUACCAAAUACAUGCUAUUGUCUUCCACAAGCAAACUCGCAGAAGUUUUUGCCACAAAAUCAUAGUUUGUAUCAAUGCUGGAUCAUAAUUCAAGCACUGUGAAAGAGCAAGGAAAAGGAAAUAUCAAAGAUUUAAAAUAACCAUGCUAAACAGAGCAAAAAGAAUGCAAGCGCAGAUGUCUCUUUUUAAAGUUAUUCAUAACAUCAUUCUUUUUUUUUCUUUAAAGCAUCCUAAAACCAGCAAAUACUCCUCCUAAUACUUAAAUCAUGCACACCUCUCAAGAAGCCGAACACACGAAAAUGAGAAUGUAGAUAUUCACUGCUCAUUUUAUUCUUUCUGCCUUUACUGCUUAUUUCCUACCUGCCUGAAAGGACUUUUUUUAAAAGGAUAUUGAUUCUGUUUCAGAAAGUUAGAAGCAUUUUCAUAUACUUUGUCAGUGGUAGAAAAAUGACAGCACUGCAAAAGAAUGGUUACCAACCAAUAUCCAGCAACUGAGAAUUACAGGUACCAGGUACAGAUAACUACAGAAAACUGGGUAUCAAGUACAGAUAACAAUGAUACCAAUAGCAUUGAUACUUACAGGACUGACCAAACCUCUUUGCCAAUUUUUUUUAAAAGUAAUUACAAUUAUAUAGUUUUAAUAUGGAGAGAAUUUACAGAAUACCACUGAAUCUCACAUCUAAAUGGAUAAGAAAGAAAAACAAAGAAUGUAAUUCUUUCAUUGAAGAAUUUUAGAUUAUUUGUCAUCCUACCGAUAGCAAUCCACACAUUUGUUCUUUCUGAAUAAAUGUCUUAGAGUUUUUGGAAAACAAAGCAACUUUUCAAUUAGAAAACCGUACCUUUCAAGUAUAUUUCGCAAACAGAAAAACAGAUUGCUUGAUUUUGCUUUUGUACAUGUGUGGCUUCCAACAAAUGAAAAGCUGCAAUAAAUCACAGAAUCUGUAAGGUUGGAAGGGACAUCUGGAGAUCAUCUAGCCUAACGUAGUCACCUACAGCAUGUUAGGUGUACACCCAGGUGGGUUUUGAAUAUCUCCAGAGAAGGAGACUCCGCAACCUCUCUGGCCAACUUGUUCCAGUGACAUUGGCUUUCUUCCAGUCCUCAGGUACCUCUCCAGUUCUCCACAACCUUUCAAAGACAAUGGAGAGCUUUUUCAUUCAGAAAUACAUUUCUGAUUCAAGAAGACAGACAACUUUCUUCACAAAAAUAUAUUAAAUAUUUACUGGUUCUUCACAUGCUUGGAAGCAAAUAUUACAUGCAUAUUAAUAAACUGACUAAGAGGACAUGUAACUUCUGUAAUUUGGUUUGAUAUGACUCACUAGGAACAAAAUUGUAAGUAAUUACUCAACAGCAUUCCAGAAAGUAUCCUUCCACUUCUUACAGCCAAGGGAUACAUUAUUUCUUUUCUCCUGCACAAAAACAAAUGCUACACUCACAAAACUGUGUUAAUUUAAGAUAA